CAUUUCCAAGGAACAUAGGAGCUGAGGUUGUACGAUGCUUUUUACGAGCCAACAUUUACGACUGAAGAAAACAUUGAGCAACGUCUGCCUGGAAUUGAUCGAGAGUAUUGGAGAUGGUUCCUUAACUAUCGUACCGAAGAGGAGACAAAGGAGAAGUGCAGGAAAAACGCGGCUAAUCGAUCAAAGCAACUAUAUACCCACACUGGUGGUUCGAAAAGCUUUGCACGACGGAUAGAAGAAGAGUCGAAAGAACAAGGGAGAAGAGUCGGUAGAGGAGAGUUAUGGAUCAAAGUGCACAAAAAAAAUGAUGGCUCCUAUAUCAAUGAUGAAGCAAGAGUAAUUGGUGAAAGAAUUGAGGAGAUUAAGCAACAAGAUGAGUCUUCUAGAUUGUUGUCUCAAAAUGAUUUCAUUGCUCAGGUUUUCAU
Arachis ipaensis is the source of this 425-nucleotide non-coding RNA. The record is from RefSeq and is a predicted model, not a curated record. NCBI's taxonomy places the organism in Eukaryota, Viridiplantae, Streptophyta, Magnoliopsida, Fabales, Fabaceae.